Molecule: ribosomal RNA, 425 nt
Filed under: uncultured bacterium
Lineage: Bacteria
Description: partial 16S ribosomal RNA
Rfam family: Bacterial small subunit ribosomal RNA
Source: RNAcentral
GUGAGGAAUUUUGCGCAAUGGGGGCAACCCUGACGCAGCGACGCCGCGUGGAGGACGAAGUCUUUCGGGAUGUAAACUCCUGUCAGUGGGGACGAUAAUGACGGUACCCACAGAGGAAGCACCGGCUAACUCCGUGCCAGCAGCCGCGGUAAGACGGAGGGUGCAAGCGUUGUUCGGAAUUACUGGGCGUAAAGCGUACGUAGGCGGCAAGUUAAGUUCAAUGUUAAAGCCCACGGCUCAACCGAGGAGAUGCAUUGAAUACUGGCUAGCUAGAGGGUGUUAGAGGAAGACGGAAUUCCCAGUGUAGCGGUGAAAUGCGUAGAUAUUGGGAGGAACAUCGGUAGCGAAAGCGGUCUUCUGGGACACACCUGACGCUGAGGUACGAAAGCGUGGGGAGCAAACGGGAUUAGAUACCCUAGUAGUCC